AUUGAACGCUGGCGGCAUGCCUUACACAUGCAAGUCGAACGGUAACGGGCCUUCGGGUGCCGACGAGUGGCGAACGGGUGAGUAAUACAUCGGAACGUGCCCGAUCGCGGGGGAUAACGAGGCGAAAGCUUUGCUAAUACCGCAUACGAUCUACGGAUGAAAGCAGGGGACAGCAAGGCCUUGCGCGGCAGGAGCGGCCGAUGGCAGAUUAGGUAGUUGGUGGGAUAAAAGCUUACCAAGCCGACGACCGUUAGCUGGUCUGAGAGGAUGAUCCGCCACACUGGGACUGAGACACGGCCCAGACUCCUACGGGAGGCAGCAGUGGGGAAUUUUGGACAAUGGGCGCAAGCCUGAUCCAGCCAUGCCGCGUGCAGGAUGAAGGCCUUCGGGUUGUAAACUGCUUUUGUACGGAACGAAAAGCCUUCUUUUAAUACAGGAGGGUCAUGACGGUACCGUAAGAAUAAGCACCGGCUAACUACGUG
RNAcentral lists this ribosomal RNA (482 nucleotides) under uncultured bacterium. RNAcentral describes it as "partial 16S ribosomal RNA". It matches the Rfam family "Bacterial small subunit ribosomal RNA", at positions 30 to 507 of the family's 1533-position model. The record is from RNAcentral.